UACGUAGGGUGCAAGCGUUGUCCGGAAUUAUUGGGCGUAAAGAGCUCGUAGGCGGUUUGUCGCGUCUGCCGUGAAAGUCCGGGGCUCAACUCCGGAUCUGCGGUGGGUACGGGCAGACUAGAGUGAUGUAGGGGGAGACUGGAAUUCCUGGUGUAGCGGUGAAAUGCGCAGAUAUCAGGAGGAACACCGAUGGCGAAGGCAGAUCUCUGGGCCGUAACUGACGCUGAGGAGCGAAAGCAUGGGGAGCGAACAGG
This 254-nucleotide ribosomal RNA is filed under the name uncultured bacterium. RNAcentral's name for it is "partial 16S ribosomal RNA". It matches the Rfam family "Bacterial small subunit ribosomal RNA", at positions 524 to 776 of the family's 1533-position model. The record is from RNAcentral.